RNAcentral lists this ribosomal RNA (318 nucleotides) under Eugerdella hessleri. Its description in RNAcentral is "partial 16S ribosomal RNA". The stretch from base 41 to 318 matches the Rfam family "Bacterial large subunit ribosomal RNA", at positions 2049 to 2553 of the family's 2925-position model. Lineage: Eukaryota; Metazoa; Arthropoda; Malacostraca; Isopoda; Desmosomatidae. The record is from RNAcentral.
AUGCUGUAUCUUUUUUAGUUUUCGGAGCAGAAUUUGAUUGUUGCGUCAAAAAGCGCAAAUACUUGAGGGGACGAUAAGACCCCGUGAAGCUUUAUCUGGACGAGAGGCCGGCUGUCUUGGGAGCGCCGCAAAGAAGGAUUAAGCUGGGGCGGCAGUUAAUUUUUAACAUUAGCAAAGAUAACACAUAUUUGUGAGGAGGGAGGAUCUUUGUGAAAAAUAGAAUAAGCUACUCCGGGGAUAACAGCGCAAUUCUUUCGUAGAGUCCGUAUUGAGGGGAGAGACUUGCGACCUCGAUGUUGAAUUGAGAGAUCUUGGUUG